UAUAGAUGGAUCCGCGCUGCAUUAGCUAGUUGGUAAGGUAACGGCUUACCAAGGCAACGAUGCAUAGCCGACCUGAGAGGGUGAUCGGCCACACUGGAACUGAGACACGGUCCAGACUCCUACGGGAGGCAGCAGUAGGGAAUCUUCCGCAAUGGGCGAAAGCCUGACGGAGCAACGCCGCGUGAGUGAUGAAGGUCUUCGGAUCGUAAAACUCUGUUAUUAGGGAAGAACAUAUGUGUAAG
RNAcentral lists this ribosomal RNA (242 nucleotides) under Staphylococcus aureus. RNAcentral's name for it is "partial 16S ribosomal RNA". It matches the Rfam family "Bacterial small subunit ribosomal RNA", at positions 220 to 461 of the family's 1533-position model. The record is from RNAcentral. Lineage: Bacteria; Bacillati; Bacillota; Bacilli; Caryophanales; Staphylococcaceae.